GUAGGGUCCAAGCGUUAAUCGGGAAUUACUGGGGCGUAAAGCGUGCGCAGGCGGUUGUGCAAGACCGAUGUGAAAUACCCCCGGGGGCUUAACCGUGGGGAAUUGCAUUGGUGACUGCACGGCUAGAGUGUGUCAGACGGGGGGUAGAAUUCCACGUGUAGCAGUGAAAUGCGUAGAGAUGUGGAGGAAUACCGAUGGCGAAGGCAGCCCCCCUGGGAUAACACUGACGCUCAUGCACGAAAGCGUGGGGAGCAAACAGGAUUAGAUACCCUGGUAGUCCACGCCCUAAACGAUGUCAACUAGUUGUUGGGGAUUCAUUUCCUUAGUAACGUAGCUAACGCGUGAAGUUGACCGCCUGGGGAGUACGGUCGCAAAGAUUAA
This 381-nucleotide ribosomal RNA is filed under the name uncultured organism. Its description in RNAcentral is "partial 16S ribosomal RNA". It matches the Rfam family "Bacterial small subunit ribosomal RNA", at positions 527 to 897 of the family's 1533-position model. The record is from RNAcentral.